Molecule: RNase P RNA, 361 nt
Filed under: Methylococcaceae bacterium TMED69
Lineage: Bacteria; Pseudomonadati; Pseudomonadota; Gammaproteobacteria; Methylococcales; Methylococcaceae
Description: RNase P RNA component class A
Rfam family: Bacterial RNase P class A
About the family: Ribonuclease P (RNase P) is a ubiquitous endoribonuclease, found in archaea, bacteria and eukarya as well as chloroplasts and mitochondria. Its best characterised activity is the generation of mature 5'-ends of tRNAs by cleaving the 5'-leader elements of precursor-tRNAs.
Source: RNAcentral
CGAGUUGGCUGGGCGGUCGCUGUUUAGAUAACAGAGGAAAGUCCGGGCUCCAAAGAGUAGAAUGCUAGGUAACGCCUAGGAGACGUGAGUCUACGGAAAGUGCCACAGAAAAUAUACCGCCUUAAAAGGGUAAGGGUGAAAAGGUGUGGUAAGAGCGCACCGCAUUACACAGUAAUGGCAAGGUAAACCCCAUUCGGAGCAAGACUAAAUAGGAGAGCGCGCAAAAUUUAUUUUGCCUAUGUGUGACUCGCACGAGCUCUUGGGUAAGUCGCUACAGUCGUGUGGUAACAUGCGUCGCAGAUGAAUGAUCGUCGAAUCUUUACUAGAUUUACAGAACCCGGCUUAUAGGCCAACUCGAUUU